Panicum virgatum (switchgrass) is the source of this 668-nucleotide long non-coding RNA. RefSeq lists it as uncharacterized. The transcript has 3 exons. The record is from RefSeq and is a predicted model, not a curated record. NCBI's taxonomy places the organism in Eukaryota, Viridiplantae, Streptophyta, Magnoliopsida, Poales, Poaceae.
UAGUUAUGAAGAGAUCAAUUCUGACCAGAAAUUGCUUCAUGCUAUUGACAUGUAUUGGGAGUCAAGAAGGCUAUCCGUACAAGUUUGUGUUCUGAGAAAGGAUGAAUCAGAUGCUGUGCAUGAUGUUGGACGGCUGGAGAGCAUGCAUUGUUUGUUGCAAGGAAGCACUGACAUCAUGUGCUGCUGAUCCACCACAAGAACAACCAUCACCUGCUGAACCAUUUAUGUCAAAAAGGUUGCAGCUAGAGCCAUCCACGCCAAGUAUAAGCAUCUCUCCUGUUCAAAUACCUAGUCCGAUGACAAGGGGCCGCAAGAGGAUGCUGGAAUAUGAAGGCUCCAUACAGCCCAUUACCUGCUCAGCUCUAUCUCCAAUGCAUGUCGAUGAGAAGGGAGAGGCGAAAAAGCUAAAAGUAGUUAGGUCCAAGAAAAUGGAAAUGUAGGUUAUGUAGUAUUUUGUUGUAGGUCUAAUGUGGGCACUUGCUAGUAUCAGGAUAGUCAGAUGUGGCUCAAACAUUUCUUUUGGUUUGCAGGACCUCUAAGUCCUUUUUCUUUUACCAUGCUGUAUUCUAAGGGUGAAUUCUAUAACCCAAUGUGGCUAAACCUGCUAUUUUGUAUUUGUGAACUGCAUGCUCAAAUGUCCAGUGAAAAUCUGUUAUAUUGGCCCUUUU